RNAcentral lists this long non-coding RNA (192 nucleotides) under Bos indicus x Bos taurus (hybrid cattle). RNAcentral's name for it is "lncRNA (ENSBIXG00005022940.1)". Lineage: Eukaryota; Metazoa; Chordata; Mammalia; Artiodactyla; Bovidae. The record is from RNAcentral.
AUGUACCUUAUGGAUGCCCGGCCCACGGACGCAGGCACGCCCUACAUCAGGGCCCUCCCCACCCCACCGAGAGCCAGUUGUAAGGCAUUUACCAAGUACGCCUCGACUAAAAGCCUUCUGUAUCCUUAAUUCAGAGCUUUGGGAAGACGUCAUGUCAUCACUGACAUUGGAAACUGGAAACACUGAAUCGAC